GGGAAUGUGGCUUAGUGGUAGAGUGCUUGCCUAACAGGCAUGAAGUCUGGGUCCAAUUCCUCAGUACCA
RNAcentral lists this transfer RNA (69 nucleotides) under Dipodomys ordii (Ord's kangaroo rat). It matches the Rfam family "tRNA". From Rfam's summary of the family: Transfer RNA (tRNA) molecules are approximately 80 nucleotides in length. The record is from Rfam by way of RNAcentral. Lineage: Eukaryota; Metazoa; Chordata; Mammalia; Rodentia; Heteromyidae.